Molecule: ribosomal RNA, 450 nt
Filed under: uncultured bacterium
Lineage: Bacteria
Description: partial 16S ribosomal RNA
Rfam family: Bacterial small subunit ribosomal RNA
Source: RNAcentral
CCUACGGGUGGCUGCAGUAAGGAAUAUUGGUCAAUGGAGGAAACUCUGAACCAGCCAUCCCGCGUGAAGGAUGAAGGGGCUCUGCCUUGUAAACUUCUUUUGUCUGGGGCGAAAAAGCUCGAUUUAUCGAGAACUGACGGUACCAGAAGAAUAAGCACCGGCUAACUCCGUGCCAGCAGACGCGGUAAUACGGAGGGUGCAAGCGUCAUCCGGUUUCACUGGUGCGUAGGGGUCCGUAGACGGCUGUGGAUAAAGGCUGUGGCGUAACCAUGGAAUUGCCAUUGAUACUGCAGAGCUUGAAUGAGGUUGAGGUUGGCGGAAUGUGACAUGUAGCGGUGAAAUGCUUAGAUAUGUCAUGGAACACCGAUUGCGAAGGCAGCUGACUGGACCUAUAUUGACGCUGAGGCACGAAAGCGUGGGGAGCGAACAGGAUUAGAUACCCCUGUAGUC